Long non-coding RNA from Salvia splendens (bonfire salvia), 3710 nucleotides. RefSeq lists it as uncharacterized. The transcript is spliced from 5 exons. The record is from RefSeq and is a predicted model, not a curated record. NCBI's taxonomy places the organism in Eukaryota, Viridiplantae, Streptophyta, Magnoliopsida, Lamiales, Lamiaceae.
ACAUCCCGAAUUAUAGGCACCAAUAAAAGGUUUGGAUAUGUGGUGAGGAAUAGUAGUUAAGUUAAACCGUAAGGUAUAAAUUUGAUACGAAAUGCCGAUUAGUCAAUUUUCGGAAAUUUCUUUUGUCCGUGUAAAAUCAUAAAUCGAAGCUAAGGGGUAAUAAUUUUAUAAAUUACAAAUUAUGGCCUAGAAUAAUUGUUGAUAAUGUGAGGAAUUGUUUUGGGCCAUUUGAAGGUAAUUAAAAAAAUUUCUAUCGCCGAUAAUUUCAGUUUUUAACGAAAACGAUCGGCGAAACUUUUGAAGAUAUAGACAGGAAUAAUUUUGCCUUGAACUAGAAUUUAAAUGCUAAAUGAUGAUAUAAAGAGUUCCUAAAUGUGAUAUCAUAUGAUAGGGCAAUAAAAUGUUACAAGAUAAUUAAUUUAUUUAAAAACUAACUAAAUAAUUAAAUAAUGAUUAGAAUUCUCUAGAGAAUUCUUUUGUCUAUCAUCAACUCCAAACCCCCCCUCAUUUCAGCCACAAGCACGUCCUCCCCCUCUCCAUGGAAGACCAAAAGCUUAAGCUUUUUAAUUUCCAAAUAUUUGUCAUUUAAUCGGUAAAUCGAUCGGGGUAAUCUUGUAUCCGCCAGCAAAUCGAGCGAAGGAGCAUAUAGUGCGUUUUGAUCACAAAGGAGUGGAUUUAGAGGGUAGAGAAGUAUCAAGGUGAAAUAGGCUUAUGUUCAUAAGCCUGCGAGGUUAGAGUCGACAUUAUGUCAGUGGUGUUGCGCAGCUUUGCAUCUUUGGCGAGUCACUGGUGGUCAACUUGGUUUAGUAGUCGUGGCAUGUUAUGUAAUAGUUUAAUCUUUAACCUUCCGCUGGAUAAAUGUUAAGUUUUUAAAUGUAAUAGAUUUUAAUUAUGCUUUUAAGCUAAAAAGAAAAAGGAAAAAUUUCAGCACGGGUUUUCGAUACUGAAACGUGACAUCACUUAUUCGGUGGGUUACCUACCGGGUAAGGGGUGUUACAAGUUUUGGUAUCAGAGCCUAGGUUUAGGCGGUUCUGGAAAGAAGUGAUUCAGUAAAGUGUGUAGAAACAUGCCACAUAGGUUUAAUUGUCUGUUAGUACCAGUGACUCGAUGCAGCUGCUUAUGUCUAAAGUGGAAAGAAGUUAACAAGGUACGGGACAUAGUUUCCCGUGUGACCGAGAAAGAUGUUAUAUGGGACUGGCCACCCCAUAUAGCUCUAAUCUCGGUAGCGUCGGUAUGUGUAAAAGAUUUAAAAAAAAAAAUUCAGGGAGGAUGGGUCUGAAAAUGUUGAUGAAAAGUAUGUCCUAAUGAAAGAUACUAAUAAAUAUAUGCAGAUUAUGAAAGAGUAUAAGUAAAAGAGAAGAAAAUGAGUUAAAGGAAUGAUAUGGAAAGAAAGUAAGUUAUAGACUAAGUGACCAUCAUGAUAUAAAAGUGUAACACGAAAAUUCACAAAGGUAUGUGGAUUGUCUGAUAUAAGAUGGAUUAAGAGUCAUAAAGUAAUAUCCUAUAAUGAUAAACAAAAGUAUAGAAAUAUGUGAAAGGAAAUGUGUUUGGCAAAAUGAUAAAUAUUGAUAUGAAAACAUAUGAAACUAUAAGGCAUUAUAUGAAUAAAACCAUAAAUGUGCGAAUGAGAAAAUGCGACGAAUAAGAAAUAAAUGAUAUGAUCUGAACAUGUGUGCCCCUAUAUGGAUUACAUGUGUACUUCGAAUCGGGCAAUAUGAGAUAUGACGUGAUGUGAUGGAAAUAUGAACUGAAUAAUCGUGCAAGACAAUAAAUUAUAUGAUUGGAAAUGUGAACUCCGUGAGAAUUAUGUGUGCGCUCGAAUACGAGCUAUAUAAAUGUUAGAACCGAAUGAUGAUUCAGAAAUGAAAUGGAAAAUGGGAAUGUAUGCUCUAAGCGAGCUGUAUAGUAUAUGAUAAGAUAUGUCUAAAAAUAUGAGUUUGAAAUUGAGCUAUAUGAUAUAAAAUGGUAUUCUGGUUGAAAGUGUUGUCUGUGAUCUGUAAAUGUGUUAGUUAUGGAUAAGAAUGAGUUUUGAAAAUAAAUAUGGUUGUUGAUGAAUACUGACUUGAUAUUUGAAUUAUGUUGUGAUUUGGUGGUUUGAUUUGAUAAUCUGUGAUUAACAUUGUAUCUUGUUGGUUUUGGGGAAGCACUGGUUAUAGAGAAAACGCUGCCCAAUUUUUGCUAGAAAUUGAUCAGAUAAAUUAAUACGAAGUUGUGGUAAAUAAACUGAUAAGUGAUAAUACAUGAAGAGAAUGAUGUUACAUGAUGACUUAAGAAAGGAAAAAGGGAAAAGAUAAGAAGUGUUGUGAAUGAUAAUAAAGGAAAACGUAAUGAAAUGAUGAUAUGUGGAAAGUGAAAUGCACCCUUCGUCGGCUAUAAGUGCCCGAAUAGGGACUAUGCAAUUGGGACUAUACAAUAUAUGAUGAGUAUGUGAAAUAUACAUAUGCGUGAUGAAUAUGAUAUGUGCGCCUCAUGUGGACAAAGAAAAGAUGCAAAUAACAUGGAAAUUACUAUGUAAAGAAAUGAUAAUGUGACAAAUGUGCUUGAAAUAUAUUAGAGAUAAUGAUAAUAUUAUUAUGUGAUCGCAAAAUGUUGCUAUGUGUUAAGAUGUGAUUAUGUGAUUUUGUAUGUCAUUCUGUGUUUGGUUAUGGAAGUGAGGAUACGCUAUGUAGAUGAGGAUAUAGGAUGUCGUGGAAUGGCAUACGUAUAUGCGACGCUUAUAGGAAUGAUGUAAACCCGAGGGAAUUUCGAGGACGAAAUUCCUUUUAGGGGGGAUGAGUUGUAACAUCCCGAAUUAUAGGCACCAAUAAAAGGUUUGGAUAUGUGGUGAGGAAUAGUAGUUAAGUUAAACCGUAAGGUAUAAAUUUGAUACGAAAUGCCGAUUAGUCAAUUUUCGGAAAUUUCUUUUGUCCGUGUAAAAUCAUAAAUCGAAGCUAAGGGGUAAUAAUUUUAUAAAUUACAAAUUAUGGCCUAGAAUAAUUGUUGAUAAUGUGAGGAAUUGUUUUGGGCCAUUUGAAGGUAAUUAAAAAAAUUUCUAUCGCCGAUAAUUUCAGUUUUUAACGAAAACGAUCGGCGAAACUUUUGAAGAUAUAGACAGGAAUAAUUUUGCCUUGAACUAGAAUUUAAAUGCUAAAUGAUGAUAUAAAGAGUUCCUAAAUGUGAUAUCAUAUGAUAGGGCAAUAAAAUGUUACAAGAUAAUUAAUUUAUUUAAAAACUAACUAAAUAAUUAAAUAAUGAUUAGAAUUCUCUAGAGAAUUCUUUUGUCUAUCAUCAACUCCAAACCCCCCCUCAUUUCAGCCACAAGCACGUCCUCCCCCUCUCCAUGGAAGACCAAAAGCUUAAGCUUUUUAAUUUCCAAAUAUUUGUCAUUUAAUCGGUAAAUCGAUCGGGUAAUCUUGUAUCCGCCAGCAAAUCGAGCGAAGGAGCAUAUAGUGCGUUUUGAUCACAAAGGAGUGGAUUUAGAGGGUAGAGAAGUAUCAAGGUGAAAUAGGCUUAUGUUCAUAAGCCUGCGAGGUUAGAGUCGACAUUAUGUCAGUGGUGUUGCGCAGCUUUGCAUCUUUGGCGAGUCACUGGUGGUCAACUUGGUUUAGUAGUCGUGGCAUGUUAUGUAAUAGUUUAAUCUUUAACCUUCCGCUGGAUAAAUGUUAAGUUUUUAAAUGUAAUAGAUUUUAAUUAUGCUUUUAAGCUAAAAAGAAAAAGGAAAAAUUUCAGCA